AUCGACAAAGGCGGCGAAGAUGUAUCUAUGGCUUGCCUUG
This 40-nucleotide small RNA is filed under the name Arabidopsis thaliana (thale cress). Its description in RNAcentral is "ATSL181200". Lineage: Eukaryota; Viridiplantae; Streptophyta; Magnoliopsida; Brassicales; Brassicaceae. The record is from RNAcentral.